RNAcentral lists this ribosomal RNA (402 nucleotides) under bacterium. RNAcentral's name for it is "partial 16S ribosomal RNA". It matches the Rfam family "Bacterial small subunit ribosomal RNA", at positions 355 to 776 of the family's 1533-position model. The record is from RNAcentral.
UGGGGAAUUUUGCACAAUGGGGGAAACCCUGAUGCAGCGACGCCGCGUGAUUUAGAAGGCCUUCGGGUUGUAAAAAUCUUUUCUAUGGGAAGAAAAUGACAGUACCAUAGGAAUAAGGACCGGCUAAUUACGUGCCAGCAGCCGCGGUAAUACGUAAGGUCCGAGCGUUGUCCGGAAUCAUUGGGCGUAAAGGGUACGUAGGCGGGUAAGCAAGUUAGAAGUGAAAUCCUAUAGCUCAACUAUAGUAAGCUUUUAAAACUGCUCAUCUUGAGGUAUGGAAGGGAAAGUGGAAUUCCUAGUGUAGCGGUGAAAUGCGCAGAUAUUAGGAGGAAUACCGGUGGCGAAGGCGACUUUCUGGCCACAACCUGACGCUGAGGUACGAAAGCGUGGGUAGCAAACAGG